This is a non-coding RNA of Ictidomys tridecemlineatus (thirteen-lined ground squirrel), 69 nucleotides long. The record is from Rfam. NCBI's taxonomy places the organism in Eukaryota, Metazoa, Chordata, Mammalia, Rodentia, Sciuridae.
GGGGUCAUGGCUCAAUGGUAGAGCACUUGCCUUGCAUGCUUGGGGCCCUGGGUUCAAUUCUCAGCACCA